Long non-coding RNA from Mesocricetus auratus (golden hamster), 239 nucleotides. RefSeq lists it as uncharacterized. NCBI's taxonomy places the organism in Eukaryota, Metazoa, Chordata, Mammalia, Rodentia, Cricetidae. The record is from RefSeq and is a predicted model, not a curated record. The transcript has 2 exons.
CCUUCCCUUCUGACUAAAGUAACUGGCUCUAUCUUUCCAGCUUUGCAUGAGAGACCCAAGACACUGCCCCUGAACAUGUGACUGGGCAGCAGCAUGGUAUGUGUCCACAUAGUCGGAAAUGAAGAGCUCCCGGUUCUUGAUGACUGGAUCUGUGAUGACAAGCUCUCUUCCAGAGUCUGCAAACAAAAGAAAUCAGUUAACCAAAUAAGAAGAUAUUAAAACAGCGUUUCCUAAAACAA